AUUGAACGCUGGCGGCAGGCCUAACACAUGCAAGUCGAGCGGAUGAAGGGAGCUUGCUCCUGGAUUCAGCGGCGGACGGGUGAGUAAUGCCUAGGAAUCUGCCUGGUAGUGGGGGAUAACGUCCGGAAACGGGCGCUAAUACCGCAUACGUCCUGAGGGAGAAAGUGGGGGAUCCUCGGACCUCACGCUAUCAGAUGAGCCUAGGUCGGAUUAGCUAGUUGGUGGGGUAAAGGCCUACCAAGGCGACGAUCCGUACUGGUCUGAGAGGAUGAUCAGUCACACUGGAACUGAGACACGGUCCAGACUCCUACGGGAGGCAGCAGUGGGGAAUAUUGGACAAUGGGCGAAAGCCUGAUCCAGCCAUGCCGCGUGUGUGAAGAAGGUCUUCGGAUUGUAAAGCACUUUAAGUUGGGAGGAAGGGCAGUAAGUUAAUACCUUGCUGUUUUGACGUUACCAACAGAAUAAGCACCGGCUAACUUCGUG
This 483-nucleotide ribosomal RNA is filed under the name uncultured bacterium. Its description in RNAcentral is "partial 16S ribosomal RNA". It matches the Rfam family "Bacterial small subunit ribosomal RNA", at positions 30 to 507 of the family's 1533-position model. The record is from RNAcentral.